UACGUAGGUGGCAAGCGUUGUCCGGAUUUACUGGGUGUAAAGGGCGUGUAGGCGGAGCUGCAAGUCAGAUGUGAAAUCCCGGGGCUCAACCCCGGAACUGCAUUUGAAACUGUAGCCCUUGAGUAUCGGAGAGGCAGGCGGAAUUCCUAGUGUAGCGGUGAAAUGCGUAGAUAUUAGGAGGAACACCGGUGGCGAAGGCGGCCUGCUGGACUGCAACUGACGUUGAGGCCCGAAAGCGUGGGGAGCAAACAGG
Molecule: ribosomal RNA, 253 nt
Filed under: uncultured bacterium
Lineage: Bacteria
Description: partial 16S ribosomal RNA
Rfam family: Bacterial small subunit ribosomal RNA
Source: RNAcentral